RNAcentral lists this transfer RNA (72 nucleotides) under Sus scrofa (pig). It matches the Rfam family "tRNA". Rfam says of the family: Transfer RNA (tRNA) molecules are approximately 80 nucleotides in length. The record is from Rfam by way of RNAcentral. Lineage: Eukaryota; Metazoa; Chordata; Mammalia; Artiodactyla; Suidae.
UCCCUGGUGGUCUAGUGGUUAGGAUUUGGCACUUUCACUGCUGCAGCCCAGGUUCGGUCCCUGGCCUAGGAA